Molecule: ribosomal RNA, 1467 nt
Filed under: metagenome
Description: bacterial LSU rRNA
Rfam family: Bacterial large subunit ribosomal RNA
Source: RNAcentral
GGGUAGUCCAGCCCAGGCGAUGGUUGUCCUGGGGUAAGCAUGUAGGGAGCGAGGUAGGUAAAUCCGCCUCGUAUAUAUCCUGAGAUGUGAUGCCGAGCCGAUUGUGGUGAAGUGGAUGAUCCUAUGCUGCCGAGAAAAGCCUCUAGUGAGUGUUGUGGCGGCCCGUACCCUAAACCGACUCAGGUGGUCAGGUAGAGAAUACCAAGGCGAUCGGGUGAACUGUGGUUAAGGAACUCGGCAAAUUGCCCCCGUAACUUCGGGAGAAGGGGGACCUCUGCUGGUGAUGGGCUUUACGUUCUGAGCUGGUGGGGGUCGCAGUGGCCAGGGGGAAGCGACUGUUUACUAAAAACACAGGUCCGUGCGAAGUCGUAAGACGAUGUAUACGGACUGACGCCUGCCCGGUGCCGGAACGUUAAGGGGACCGCUUAGCCAACGCGAGUUGGCGAAGGUGAGAACUUAAGCGCCGGUAAACGGCGGUGGUAACUAUAACCAUCCUAAGGUAGCGAAAUUCCUUGUCGGGUAAGUUCCGACCUGCACGAAUGGCGUAACGACUUCCCCGCUGUCUCAACCACAGACCCGGCGAAAUUGCACUACGAGUAAAGAUGCUCGUUUCGCGCAGCAGGACGGAAAGACCCCGGGACCUUCACUACAGCUUGACAUUGGCGUUUGGAACGUCUUGUGUAGGAUAGGUGGGAGACUGGGAAGCUGUCACGCUAGUGAUGGUGGAGUCAUUGGUGAAAUACCACUCUGGUCGUUUUGAACGUCUAACUCUGGUCCGUGAUCCGGAUCGGGGACAGUGUCUGGUGGGUAGUUUAACUGGGGCGGUUGCCUCCUAAAGAGUAACGGAGGCGCCCAAAGGUUCCCUCAGCCUGGUUGGCAAUCAGGUCUUGGGUGUAAGUGCACAAGGGAGCUUGACUGUGAGACUGACAGGUCGAGCAGGAGCGAAAGCUGGGACUAGUGAUCCGGCAUCGGCGUGUGGAAGCGGUGUCGCUCAACGGCUAAAAGGUACCCCGGGGAUAACAGGCUGAUCUUCCCCAAGAGUCCAUAUCGACGGGAUGGUUUGGCACCUCGAUGUCGGCUCGUCGCAUCCUGGGGCUGGAGUAGUCCCAAGGGUUGGGCUGUUCGCCCAUUAAAGCGGUACGCGAGCUGGGUUUAGAACGUCGCGAGACAGUUCGGUCCCUAUCCGCUGCGCGCGCAGGAGACUUGAAGGGGGCUGUCCCUAGUACGAGAGGACCGGGACGGACGAACCUCUGGUGUGCCAGUUGUACCGCCAGGUGCACGGCUGGUUGGCUACGUUCGGAAGGGAUAACCGCUGAAAGCAUCUAAGCGGGAAGCUCGCCUUGAGAUGAGGUCUCCCACCCCGUGAGGGGGUAAGGCUCCCGGUAGAUCACCGGGUUGAUAGGCCGGAGGUGGAAGCACGGUAACGUGUGGAGCUGACCGGUACUAAUAGGCCGAGGACUUGACCAA